AGAGUUUGAUCAUGGCUCAGGAUGAACGCUGGCGGUAUGCCUUACACAUGCAAGUCGUACGAGAGUUUUUAACUCAAGUGGCGGACGGGUGAGUAACACGUAAGAAUUUGCCUUUAGGUGGGGGAUAACAACUAGAAAUGGUUGCUAAUACCCCAUAUGCUUUCGAGUGAAAUGGAUUUUUCCGCCUAAAGAGAAGCUUGCGGCUGAUUAGCUUGUUGGUGAGGUAAUGGCUCACCAAGGCGACGAUCAGUAUCUGGUUUGAGAGGACGAUCAGACACACUGGAACUGAGACACGGUCCAGACUCCUACGGGAGGCAGCAGUGGGGAAUUUUCCGCAAUGGGCGAAAGCCUGACGGAGCAAUACCGCGUGAGGGAUGACUGCCUAUGGGUUGUAAACCUCUUUUUUCAGGGAGGAAUCAAAUGACGUGUACCUGAAGAAUAAGCAUCGGCUAACUCCGUGCCAGCAGCCGCGGUAAGACGGAGGAUGCAAGUGUUAUCCGGAAUCACUGGGCGUAAAGCGUCUGUAGGUGGUCCAAUAAGUCAACUGUUAAAUCUUGAGGCCCAACCUCAAAAUCGCAGUCGAAACUAUUAGACUAGAGUAUAGUAGGGGUAAAGGGAAUUUCCAGUGGAGCGGUGAAAUGCGUAGAGAUUGGAAAGAACACCGAUGGCGAAGGC
RNAcentral lists this ribosomal RNA (675 nucleotides) under uncultured bacterium. RNAcentral's name for it is "bacterial SSU rRNA". It matches the Rfam family "Bacterial small subunit ribosomal RNA", at positions 8 to 722 of the family's 1533-position model. The record is from RNAcentral.